UUCUGUUUAACUUAGUGGCGGACGGGUGAGUAAUGUGUGAGCAACCUGCCUUACAGAGGGGGAUAACACUCUGAAAAGAGUGCUAAUACCGCAUGAAGCGAGAAUAUCGCAUGAUAAUUUCGUUAAAGGAGCAAUCCGCUGGAAGAUGGGCUCACAUCCGAUUAGAUAGUUGGUGAGGUAACGGCUCACCAAGUCGACGAUCGGCAGCCGGACUGAGAGGUUGAACGGCCACAUUGGAACUGAGAUGCGGUCCAGACUCC
Molecule: ribosomal RNA, 260 nt
Filed under: uncultured bacterium
Lineage: Bacteria
Description: partial 16S ribosomal RNA
Rfam family: Bacterial small subunit ribosomal RNA
Source: RNAcentral